ACUUAAGAAGCUUAACAUUGUGAGCAUUACAUUGAAGCUGUAAGGGAGGCAGGUGUGCCCUUAAGUA
This 67-nucleotide transfer RNA is filed under the name Macrobrachium lanchesteri. RNAcentral describes it as "tRNA-Phe". The record is from RNAcentral. Lineage: Eukaryota; Metazoa; Arthropoda; Malacostraca; Decapoda; Palaemonidae.